Molecule: ribosomal RNA, 447 nt
Filed under: uncultured bacterium
Lineage: Bacteria
Description: partial 16S ribosomal RNA
Rfam family: Bacterial small subunit ribosomal RNA
Source: RNAcentral
AGUGAACGCUGGCGGCAGGCUUAACACAUGCAAGUCGAACGCCCCGCAAGGGGAGUGGCAGACGGGUGAGUAACGCGUGGGAACCUACCUUUCGGUGCGGAAUAACUCCGGGAAACCGGAGCUAAUACCGCAUACGCCCUAUGGGGGAAAGAUUUAUCGCCGAUAGAUGGGCCCGCGUCGGAUUAGCUAGUUGGUGAGGUAACGGCUCACCAAGGCGACGAUCCGUAGCUGGUCUGAGAGGAUGAUCAGCCACACUGGGACUGAGACACGGCCCAGACUCCUACGGGAGGCAGCAGUGGGGAAUAUUGGACAAUGGGCGCAAGCCUGAUCCAGCCAUGCCGCGUGAGUGAAGAGGGCCUUAGGGUUGUAAAGCUCUUUUAGUGGGGAAGAUAAUGACGGUACCCACAGAAUAAGCCCCGGCUAACUUCGUGCCAGCCGCCGCAGUAA